RNAcentral lists this non-coding RNA (45 nucleotides) under Schistosoma margrebowiei. The record is from RNAcentral. Lineage: Eukaryota; Metazoa; Platyhelminthes; Trematoda; Strigeidida; Schistosomatidae.
AUUCAACUGACGAGUGCUAAAUAGGACGAAACGUGCGUCUUGGAU